UGGAACCAUCCGGCAAGUUAUCGUGGAUUACCGUCUGAACUUGAAGAUAUGCGGCUUCUAUUGGAGCAACGGUCGGAAGCAGAAGUAAGUAUUAUUGCAAAUAGAUAUUUCCAUACAUUUGUUAGUCGAUUGAUAUUUAGUAUUUAGUAUUUAGUAUUAUGUAUAUAACUAAUAUUUCUAUCAUGUUCAUAUAGUUUCAAUGGACACCAUACGAGGAUUCGGCAAUUCGGGCAGUAAUCUCGGAAGAGUUUUUACAAAAUUCGAAUGCUUGGCACGCGAAAGUGGUGUUGAUCAACUAUACAACCGUGGACCCCCAC
This 317-nucleotide long non-coding RNA is filed under the name Gossypium barbadense (sea-island cotton). Its description in RNAcentral is "long non-coding RNA (GBAR_LNC023128)". The record is from RNAcentral. Lineage: Eukaryota; Viridiplantae; Streptophyta; Magnoliopsida; Malvales; Malvaceae.